GGAAUAUUGCACAAUGGGGGAAACCCUGAUGCAGCGACGCCGCGUGAGUGAAGAAGUAUUUCGGUAUGUAAAGCUCUAUCAGCAGGGAAGAAAAUGACGGUACCUGAUUAAGAAGCCCCGGCUAACUACGUGCCAGCAGCCGCGGUAAUACGUAGGGGGCAAGCGUUAUCCGGAUUUACUGGGUGUAAAGGGAGCGUAGACGGCAGCACAAGUCUGGAGUGAAAUGCCGGGGCUUAACCCCGGAACUGCUUUGGAAACUGUGCAGCUAGAGUGUCGGAGAGGCAGGCGGAAUUCCUAGUGUAGCGGUGAAAUGCGUAGAUAUUAGGAGGAACACCAGUGGCGAAGGCGGCCUGCUGGACGAUGACUGACGUUGAGGCUCGAAAGCGUGGGGAGCAAACAG
Molecule: ribosomal RNA, 400 nt
Filed under: uncultured bacterium
Lineage: Bacteria
Description: bacterial SSU rRNA
Rfam family: Bacterial small subunit ribosomal RNA
Source: RNAcentral